UCCAAGAAGAAAAGUGAAGAUAAAUUUUUUCUAAUUGUGUGUUAAUUAGUUGUGUUUGGUGAGUUGAGGGAUUGGAAAAGAAAUGGAGCAAGUUGGAGUGAAAUUGGACGCAUUGGCCAAUUUAUCGGAUGAAAAAUCAACUUAGGCCAAUACCGGGUCUAGAUGGCUACCCGUGCAUUUUUCAUUUCAUAUCAUGCAUAUAUAUCGAGCCUGAAAUAGCUUAUGAUUGUUAGACACAAUUUAAUUGGAAUAUGUGUCAUGGAUUAUGGCUAGGUGGUGAGCCAUU
This 286-nucleotide long non-coding RNA is filed under the name Theobroma cacao (cacao). RNAcentral's name for it is "long non-coding RNA (TCAC_LNC006353)". The record is from RNAcentral. Lineage: Eukaryota; Viridiplantae; Streptophyta; Magnoliopsida; Malvales; Malvaceae.